GAGGAAUUAGGAAAAUCUAUGCUAGGAUUAAUUUUCCUACUUAAGUCUGGAGCAGUUAUUUACAUAGUAUUGUCAGGGGCAAAAGAAAGCAUUCUACUCCUUUUGAUAUUUCAGUUUUUUUCUACAACAUAUUGCAGUCCUGGCUCAAUGCACAAAAGAACUGUGGAAGUGAUAAGACUGAUAUAACACUGAUGCUAUGAGGGGGAUUAGGAAAGUGUUGUAUUAGGCGAAAUACGGGGAUGUUAUCGGGCUGUGACGUGACAGGCCCUUCCCCAUAUUCUGGAAGAAUCUUGCUACGUGUAAUACAGUAGGCGUAGAGAAGUGAAACAUAAGGUUAUAUAAGGUCGUGUGUGCUUCAAUAAAUCGCCAUUUUACCACGCUACCACCUUGGUGUCACUUUGGUAAUUGGUCUAACUACUGCUUCAGUUGGGAGGCGAGAGAUCGUAAAGCCAUUAACGAUCAUAAGCCUUCAAAAUGGUGACGCGCCGACGUGAUUUCGUCACGAUUAGGCGUGAUUAGGGACUUUUGGAGCAAGGUAGUUGUCUGCUAAACCGCAGCAGGAUCCACUGCGGGUAGUAAUCCUCUCGUCGCGGAGUAGUGGAAGCCCAGGGUCGAAGAGGAGUGGCCAUCACUCUUCGACAGGUGGGAGAGCGAGCUCGGAAUCCCGGAAUCUCGGAAUCUCGGGGACCCCCCAGGAACCUUCGGGGAAGCGCCAGGGAGCGGCCAGGAGAACUACGUUCGGCCGGGGCGACAUGGAAGCCGUUAUCAAGGACCUCUUGAUCGGCCGCCCAAGGAAUCCUGACUGGUGGAGCGCAGAAGAAGAUCUUUCAUCUGGAUACCGAAAGAAAUUCUUGAGACUCAAGAACCCAAAGGACCCAGAGAAACAACCCCUGCUGCCAACGAGAGACACCAUUUUGAUGCUGCUAUGUCUUUUGUCUUUAUGUUGGUCGCCGGUGGGGGGUGUUCACUUGAUCCCAACAACCUGGGAAUCUGUGGGUUACUUGGGCGAAACAACAGGCAGGACGGAUUUCUGUCUUAGCCUGCAAUCAACCACCUCGCCAUUUCAAACAUGUUUAAUUGGGAUUCCUAUAUGGGGAACUCCUCUGAGUUUCAGGGAUACGUAGAUCAUAUAAUCCCAUACAAGAUCCAUGCAGAGAAUUCUGUGCACUAACAGCUAUAACAUCACACGCAGAGAUUUAGGGAAUGACACUGUAAUCCUUGUGAAACAAGGUCCGUGAAACAGGCUAAACAUGACUUCCACACUGCUGAGUGAGCUACUUGAAGACACUGACAGUAUUAGACAUGCUAUGCUUCAAAACAGAGCAGCAAUUGAUUUCUUGCUUCUCGCACAGGGUCAUGGUUGUAAAGACUUUGAUGGGAUGUGUUGUUUUAACUUGAGUGAUCAUAGUAAGUCGUUGCACGAGAAGCAGGAGGUGAAGAGGCUGAAGAAGAGGAGGAAGGUGCUAAGGAAGAAUCAGAAGAAGGCAAAGAAGGUGAAGAGGAAGAUGGAGAGAUAUUGUUGCGUAUUGUAACGGGUUAAGCCUUUUAAGCAUGGGGAGGGGGAAAUGUUGUAUUAGGCGAAAUACGGGGAUGUUAUCGGGCUGUGACUGACAGGCUCCUUCCCAAUUAUUUGGAAGAAUCUUGCUACGUGUAAUACAGUAGGCGUAGACGAAGUGGACAAAGGUUAUAUAAGGUCGUGUGUGCUUCAAUAAAUCGCCAUUUUACCACGCUACCA
Molecule: long non-coding RNA, 1735 nt
Filed under: Coturnix japonica (Japanese quail)
Lineage: Eukaryota; Metazoa; Chordata; Aves; Galliformes; Phasianidae
Description: lncRNA (ENSCJPG00005005089.1)
Source: RNAcentral